RNAcentral lists this ribosomal RNA (461 nucleotides) under uncultured bacterium. RNAcentral describes it as "partial 16S ribosomal RNA". It matches the Rfam family "Bacterial small subunit ribosomal RNA", at positions 338 to 795 of the family's 1533-position model. The record is from RNAcentral.
CCUACGGGUGGCAGCAGUGAGGAAUAUUGGUCAAUGGACGCAAGUCUGAACCAGCCAAGUAGCGUGCAGGAUGACGGCCCUCCGGGUUGUAAACUGCUUUUAGUUGGGAAUAAAAGGGGGCUCGUGAGCUCCGUAUUGUAUGUACCAUCAGAAAAGAACCGGCUAAUUCCGUGCCAGCAGCCGCGGUAUUCCGGAAGGUCCGGGCGUUAUCCGGAUUUAUUGGGUUUAAAGGGAGCGUAGGCGGGCUUUUAGGUCAGAUGUGAAAGUCCGCGGCUUAACCGGGGAAUUGCAGUUGAAACUGGAGACCUUGAGUGCACACGGGGAUGGCGGAAUGCAUGGUGUAGCGGUGAAAUGCUUAGAUAUCAUGAAGAACUCCGAUCGCGAAGGCAAGUGUCCGGGGUGCAACUGACGCUGAGGCACGAAAGUGCGGGUAUCAAACAGGAUUAGAUACCCGAGUAGUC